Molecule: long non-coding RNA, 475 nt
Filed under: Homo sapiens (human)
Lineage: Eukaryota; Metazoa; Chordata; Mammalia; Primates; Hominidae
Description: non-protein coding lnc-ASPH-8:1
Source: RNAcentral
AACUCCUUUUUUUAAAUUAUUUUUAUAUUUAUUUAUUUAUUUAUUUAUUUAUUUAUUUAUUUUUUGAGACAGAGUCUCACUCUGUCUCCCACGCUAGAGUGCAGUGGCAUGAUUUCAGCUCACUGCAACCUCCACCUCCCAGGCUCAAGCAAUUCUCCUGCCUCAGCCUCCCAAGUGUAUCAAAUGCAAUAAAAAAGAAAUCACUCACUAAAGCAUUAAGAAUUCCAAUAACAGGAGAGAAACACUAUGCAGUAGGGGGAACAGUGGAAUCACUCUAAAGAGUGAGAAAAGAAACUCUAAGACUGUAAGUUUAUCUCUAUUCCCAAAACAAACUGAGAUCAGAUCCACUCUUGUGACAGUAAGAAAACAGGUAGAUGGAGAGCCUUGAUAUAAGAAGUGUCUAAACCAGCAACACAGUUUUCAGGGGGCAGGGCUGAGAAUGAAAAGCAAGAGACAUACUGCAAAAAUGCAAAGG